AAAACUUUCAACAACGGAUCUCUUGGUUCUCGCAUCGAUGAAGAACGCAGCGAAUUGCGAUACGUAUCAUGACUUGCAGACGUGAAUCAUCAAUCUUUGAACGCACAUUGC
Molecule: ribosomal RNA, 111 nt
Filed under: Sungouiella intermedia
Lineage: Eukaryota; Fungi; Ascomycota; Pichiomycetes; Serinales; Metschnikowiaceae
Description: [Candida] intermedia 5.8S ribosomal RNA
Rfam family: 5.8S ribosomal RNA
About the family: 5.8S ribosomal RNA (5.8S rRNA) is a component of the large subunit of the eukaryotic ribosome. It is transcribed by RNA polymerase I as part of the 45S precursor that also contains 18S and 28S rRNA.
Source: RNAcentral